This 73-nucleotide transfer RNA is filed under the name Ailuropoda melanoleuca (giant panda). It matches the Rfam family "tRNA". From Rfam's summary of the family: Transfer RNA (tRNA) molecules are approximately 80 nucleotides in length. Their secondary structure includes four short double-helical elements and three loops (D, anti-codon, and T loops). Further hydrogen bonds mediate the characteristic L-shaped molecular structure. tRNAs have two regions of fundamental functional importance: the anti-codon, which is responsible for specific mRNA codon recognition, and the 3' end, to which the tRNAs corresponding amino acid is attached (by aminoacyl-tRNA synthetases). tRNAs cope with the degeneracy of the genetic code in two manners: having more than one tRNA (with a specific anti-codon) for a particular amino acid; and 'wobble' base-pairing, i.e. permitting non-standard base-pairing at the 3rd anti-codon position. Lineage: Eukaryota; Metazoa; Chordata; Mammalia; Carnivora; Ursidae. The record is from Rfam by way of RNAcentral.
ACCUGGCUGGCUCAGUUGGAAAAGCACAUGACUCUUAAUCUUGGGGUCAUGAGUUUGAGCCCUGUGUUGGGUG